Non-coding RNA from Gymnothorax javanicus (giant moray), 84 nucleotides. Lineage: Eukaryota; Metazoa; Chordata; Actinopteri; Anguilliformes; Muraenidae. The record is from the annotation of a GenBank genome assembly.
UGCUGGAUAGCUCACUCGGUUAAAGCAUUGGUCUGCGAAGCAGAAGUGACUAUCACGACGCGGGUUUGAGCCCCGGUCCUACAA